RNAcentral lists this ribosomal RNA (465 nucleotides) under Vreelandella stevensii. RNAcentral describes it as "partial 16S ribosomal RNA". It matches the Rfam family "Bacterial small subunit ribosomal RNA", at positions 338 to 795 of the family's 1533-position model. The record is from RNAcentral. Lineage: Bacteria; Pseudomonadati; Pseudomonadota; Gammaproteobacteria; Oceanospirillales; Halomonadaceae.
CCUACGGGUGGCAGCAGUGGGGAAUAUUGGACAAUGGUGGCAACCCUGAUCCAGCCAUGCCGCGUGUGUGAAGAAGGCCCUCGGGUUGUAAAGCACUUUCAGUGAGGAAGAACGCCUGGUGGUUAAUACCCAUCAGGAAAGACAUCACUCACAGAAGAAGCACCGGCUAACUCCGUGCCAGCAGCCGCGGUAAUACGGAGGGUGCGAGCGUUAAUCGGAAUUACUGGGCGUAAAGCGCGCGUAGGUGGCUUGAUAAGCCGGUUGUGAAAGCCCCGGGCUCAACCUGGGAACGGCAUCCGGAACUGUCAAGCUAGAGUGCAGGAGAGGAAGGUAGAAAUCCCGGUGUAGCGGUGAAAUGCGUAGAGAUCGGGAGGAAUACCAGUGGCGAAGGCGGCCUUCUGGACUGACACUGACACUGAGGUGCGAAAGCGUGGGUAGCAAACAGGAUUAGAUACCCCUGUAGUC